GGGUUAACGGCCGCGGACCUGGCAGUUCUCAGGCUUCUCCAAGGGAGAAGCCCCCUUGCCAGGGUCUCGAUUUCCCGCCAACCAACAAAGGUUCAUUUGCCUCUUAUGGCCUGCGCGGGAGGGUUGCCAUGCUGUCACAAAUCCUCCUCUGCAUCCCAGGAGUGCCGCUUGGUCCUCGGGCUCGCAGCGUGGCCCACACCUGGGUCGGGCCUCUCACGGGGACGCUCCCGCCACUGUGAUAAAGAGGAGAAAACGUCACAGGGGAAGGGCCUGACCCUGCUGCAUCCAUUUUUUAGAUUAAGUACUGCACGACUACUCGCUUCUGAAACUGUCAUAAGAAACUGCCUCAGCUCCCUGCAGGGUGGACACACAAGAGCAGAAUCUCCGUGGGACAUCUCUUUGGAGCAUCAAUAUUACUACAGUAUUUGGAAGACACAAAUUUAAAUAAUUUCUAAGGUAAAGAAUGGAACAUUUAAGACAAGGCUGGAAAGUCAUCUGCCUUUAAUAAC
RNAcentral lists this long non-coding RNA (509 nucleotides) under Homo sapiens (human). RNAcentral describes it as "non-protein coding lnc-TP53TG3-66:4". Lineage: Eukaryota; Metazoa; Chordata; Mammalia; Primates; Hominidae. The record is from RNAcentral.